Molecule: non-coding RNA, 7392 nt
Organism: Cyanistes caeruleus (blue tit)
Lineage: Eukaryota; Metazoa; Chordata; Aves; Passeriformes; Paridae
Source: RefSeq, a predicted model, not a curated record
UCCCGCCGAGCCGCGGCCCGGGCCGGGGCCAGGAGCUGCCUCGGAGAGCGGGUUUGACAUCGGAGCGUGUUUGCGUGAGGGGAACUGGCCACGAGAAGGGAAGAGGAGCGACAUGGAAGGAAUUCUUGGCUGUGAGGGUGGAGAGGCCCCGUCAGAGGCUGCCCGGAGAAGCUGUGUCUGCCCCUGGAUCCCUGGAAGUGCCCAAGGCCAGGUUGGAUGGAGCUCUGAACACACAGGGUCAGUGGACACUGUCCCUGCCCACAGCAGGGGUUGGAACAGAUCAUCUUUAAGCUCCCUUCCAAGCCAAACCAUUCCAUGAUCCAAUGAUAAAUUACAUAUUACACAAUAUCUACUCAUUCCAUGUUCCGGCAAAGGAGAAUUUGUGACAAGCUGAAGAUGCUACACCAACCAAAACUUAAAAGAUAACCUGUCAGUGGGAGUCUAACUGUAGUGAAUAUUCUCUUGCUGUCUAAUAAAUGUCUUUCAUUUGUGAAAGGCAUCUUGGCUUGUUUUAAUCACUGCUGCUGGAAAGCUAUUUUCAGAGCUAUCAGGUCCAUAAAUACCAAUAAAUGAACAGGUAUAAUUGCCACACGUUUAAAAUAGCUUGUACACAUGGGAGGGAACGCUAUCCUUAAUGUCAGAUAUACCCUGAAAAAUGGCCAAAUCACGAGCCUCAUAUGCAAAAAGAUCCUCAAAUUUUUAUGUAUUGUAACAAGGACAGUAUCUGGCUGAAACCUGUUGUUCUCUACAUUGUAGCAAUUACCUCCCGUGUGUCAGGUGCUCCUGUAAAUCUGUCUUCUGUUUGGUGAAUUAUUUUAGAGCCAAACUAAUUUUAGAAUAUUUCCAGCAACUGCAUUGACUGAUCAUAUUGCAAUCUUGUGAAUAUGUAAAAGCCCUGAGAGUUAAAAAUGUGAUUGUCACAGUUAGUCUUAGUGUUUCACAGCUGACAGUGACAGAAAAUCACAUCGCUUGUCCUGGAAGGUUAUCUCUAAGCAAUAUUUUUUUGAUGCCAUUUCUUUAUUUUCAAUUUAACACUUAUUUGUUUAGGGAAUGCCAGGUGGGUUUGAAGGGUAAGAAACAUUGGAGGGUAAAAAACAUUGCAGUUCUUUUUGAGCAGAGAGCUCCCAGUUGCAGCUGACUAUGUCAUUGCUGGAUUUUGGUUUUUAUUUUUUUUAUGUUUGUGUGUUCUGCAUCAUCAGUGAGUCACAAGCCCCGGGAGGAUGUAUAUCAAUGCAAGUAUCACAAAGCUGUUUUAACUUCAUGGUCAGUUGUUUUUCACUCAGAAUCCAGAGGCAGUUGGAGUUUCUAAGAAACUAUAAUCCAGAUAAUCUUAAUGUAAUAUGAUCUGAAUUAUAAAAAUUCCUAUUAUUACAAUGUCUUAGGGAAGUCACAGCUAAUUCAACAAGAUGCAAGAUCAGCUUUAUGUUUUAUGACAAACAGCAAUUAAAACUAUCUAAGAAGAGAUUCAAAAGCAUUUAGGCAGCCUUUUCCUAAUUUUUUUGUUAAUUUUAUAUAUAUUUUUAGUUGUUUCAAACAGCACGGAAGAGUAUCUGGGAGUAAUACCUACUCUGUUUCAUGUUGAAAUGUUAAAGUUACCAGAUGUCCUUGAUUCAUCUUGGCAGUCCCCAUGUGCUUUUCAUCAUUUGUCUCAUGGCAGAAGACACUAAUUAAAAUGAAAUAGAGUAGAACUCCAUGCUCAGGACACUUUGUCAACUUUUGGCACUAUGGUCAAGCCAGGAUUGUUUUGCUCUGGUAUUAAGCAGAGAGCUGAUGGCUCCGAGCCAUGCUGACAUUUGUUUUUGAGAGGAAAAGGUGGAAAACCUUUUUCAUUAAGCUGGAACACGGAGCAUUCGGUGGCUGUGGGUGGUGUGGCAGAGCCAGGCAGGAGGAACCUGCUGGCCCUGCUCUCCGUGGGGCCAAUUCCCCCAGGAGGAGCCACCCUGCUCCUCGGUGCUGCCCAGAAAAGGAAGCUCUGAUCACCCACUGAUCCCUCAGAGCGUGUGCUCCGUGCUGUUACAAAAUGUUUGGAGUGUUCAGGAACUCUGGGAGCUAAAUUUAGAGUGCCUAGCUGUGCUCUGGAUAUCGUUGGGUGGAUGGCUCCUAUGGGAUGAGGGGAGGUGGAUGGAAUUAAACUCACAAUGCACAACAUUCUGAGACUGAGACCAUUGGAAAUCAUAUGGAGAAUAAGGCUUGCACUUGAUGUGAGAAGGAAACUCAAGUGUUUGCAUCCUUUUCAGCUUAAUCAUGUUGCUUUUUGUUUUAAAAAACAACAUUUUAUAGUAUUCUUUUGGAAGAAAUCUGCUUUAUUUUAGCCUUAAAAUGCAGCCUUCCUCUUUCUCAUUUGCUGCUGGGAAAUAAGCAGGGUUUGAACAGGCCUCAGGGAGGUGACCUGAAUUGUAUGGAGGGCAAAAAGAAAAGUGCUUCGUAAUUCUUUGUAACCUUUGGAAGUGACUCCUGUGAGCUGACAGAAGACAGACAGGAUCAUGAAGAAUGCUUUGACAGAUCUUAGCAUACCUGUGAUCCAUGAUCUGGUACCAUAUAAAUGAGUUUAAUGGCACAGAUCCAGUGGUAAAUGCCUCUUCAAAGUAAGGCUUCUUUCUUUAAAAAGUAGGGCUUCUUGCAGCAAACCUGGAUUAAUUUUAGCAGCUAUAUUCAGUUUUAGUAAUUCCAGUUUCUUAAGACUAAAGACAACAAGAAUUUGUAAGGAACACAACGAGAAGACUCUUGUUCUUGACAGAGUCAACAUCCAUUAAACUGCAGUUAAUUUUCUUAGGUCCAGUCUGAUCAACUACAGCUUGAAAAAGCUAAGUAACUUCUGUCACCACAGUUUUACUGGCUCCUUGACCAUAUUAAGGAUUUUUUUGGGGUGUUCCUAAACACCAAAGUAAUUCUUUCUUUUUGUUUAUCUUACCAUAUUUUUUUUAAGUUUUUGAGGUCAAGUCAGCUUUUCCAGAUUAAUAGUCAACGAUUAUUCUGAAAUAUCCCCAUCCACUGCAAAACACAGGAUUUCAGGCCUGAAUCCCACUUCCAGCUGUCAUGGAAAUUUCCAGUCCUAUCCCAAAGGAAAAUUCCAUUUUCAGCCUUCCAUUCAAACCCCUGUUUAGGGAAGAGUGUGCUUUGAAUUAGUGUCCUCCUCAAAUCUCAUUGAUGCAGCUCAUUCUAACUUCUUUCAACGGUCUCAAACCCUAUGAUUUAUCCACAGAAAAUCGUGCUCAUUUCACAAAUGAAUGAAUGAAUGGCUUUUAAAGAGAUAGAUUUAUGUGAUGUAACACAUUUACUAUCAAAAGUGUAGUAAGCAGUAAGUUUAUCUAGUAAAAAAAAAAAAAGAAAAAGGUGUUACAAUCUCUUAUUGACACACUGCACUUUAUAGACAUUAUUUUCUUGCUAAGGAGACAACUUGUUCUUUAGCCCAAAACAUUUUAAUUUAGUAACAUAUAUGAUACAAAAAGAAUUACUAAGUGAGUGUAGUUGUAACUGUGUUGCUAAAAUUGCAGCAGUUCACACUAAAUAAAUUAAGGGUAUUAGAGCGAUAUGUGUCAGAAAUUUAAACCUCCAAGAUAAUGGCAAUUGAGCAAGUAUUCAAACAGCAUAUUUGUGGCUUUGAGAAAAACAUCCAGACCCAAUUAGAACCAUUUGUUGAGGUCUGUAGAGUUUCUUUUUUACUUUCCUAUGUAUGCUAUAAAAUAUUUUAAACAUUCCCCAUUCUUGUUGUUUGAAACUGAAAUGUGAAUUAUUUUUUUUUAAUAUCCCAAUGCUUCUUUGGCUCUGUUUAAAUCAACGGCAAGUAAUUCUUGUAAUAAAAUGAGCAGUAUUAGCUAUAAUUCUUGAAGGACGACUUAGUAAAAUACGGACUUUUCUAUGCAUUCUUUUGGCACAUAAUCUAACAUUUUUACUGCUUGCAUAAUGAUGGAACUAUUGGUUUUAAUGCCAUUUAUUAUUUCAGCAGAUAGAGUUCAAACUGUGUAGAGCCUAGGCUCUCUAAUAGAUAGAUAGUGGAUAUUGUAGGAAUAUUUCUUGCUCGUGGGAAGCAAGACAGGAGCUGACAGUUUAACAGUGGGUGCAUUUGUGGGUGAAAUUCAGUACUGGGAAAGGGGCCAGUUCCCGGUGAUUUCAUUCUUCAGGAGAGAACAUUAAUGCAGGCAUCUUGCUGUAGCCAAGGGAAGCCAGCUCCCCUGACCCUCAUCAUCCCAAAUGAGAGCAUGGCCAGGAGCCACGAGACACCGAGUGCCCAGCCCGGGGAAGAGCGGAGGGAAGCCCGGAGCAGGGAGCAGCUGGCACCGGCUCCUGGAGCCGAGGGGCUGAGGAGGAGGAGAAAGGCUGGCCAGGCUGCUCCCGGCCACUGCCAGCACCACAUUCCCCUGCAGUCAGGCUCCCUGCGGAACUCUUAGCACGGCCCUGCUGCUUUGGGAACACAGGCUGACCCCUGCUUCUGAUCCUUUUAAAAAACUGUUAUUUCCCUUCUGUAAUAUUUGUAUUACUGCCAUGUCAGCGCUCUGUUUAUUCCAUUUCUCUCAAGGACAAGAAAGCAUCAAACCAUACUUCUAAACUUACCACAUAUACUUCAUAUAGAAUUAACAUGUGUUAAAAGAGUAAAACACAUCUUAAUGUGCCCUUCUAAAGAAUCAUUAUCCUGAGGAUAGUAAAGCCAAUCUCUUUGGAGAAGCUGGAGCACAAUUACUUGCCCUUCCAACUUUCCUAUCUUCUUUUGUUCAGGACAAGGGUGGAGUUCAAAAAGCAGGCAGUAAGGAUUUCACCUUUGCUGAUAAUCCAUGAAACACCUGAGAAUAAAUCUGAUCCUAAAUUUAGUCCCCCUGUAAAAUAACUAAAGGAACAGUAACUGAAAUUGAACAGGAAAAUGUUUGUUAUAUUUUAAAUGUACUUUUCUCUGCUCUGUAUUCAACACUCAGGUUAGUGGCCAAAUCUCCUUUCCACACAAAUCAAUCAAUCAACUGUGACUGACUUCAAUAGGAGAUUGAUUUCCUACUUCGAACCUUGGCUACACCUUUGUACCUCCAGUUAAGCUAUCUCUUCUCCACGUUUUCUCAAAUUUACUCUACUUAGAGGCUUGCUGCUUUCCCAGUAUUUCAUAAUGGAAAAGGUGCAGAACACAUCAAACCAGGAACAAAUAAAUUGUUAUUUUCCCUGUACAAACCAAAGAGUUUCAAAGAAGGACUCAGGGCUUGAGAAUUCUCCUGUGACCGCAGUGUUUGCCUGUUGCCAAGGCCUGUGGUGGGAUCUGGGUUCUUGUUGUGGUGACAAAAUAAGUUCUUCCACCACAAGUAAAUGUCGUCCCCACAAAAUGGAAUAAUUUCCAACUCAGCAUGACAGUUAAAGCCCUUGGCUUUCAGUAAACUGGGACUUAAGCAGCAAAUCAAACAACCCAUUUUCUUUUUGAUGCAGUGCCAUGUGGUUGGCUACUUAGAAUCUCACUUUUUGUGCAGUGAUAAAAUUCUCUUCUGCCCCUCACUAUUGGGCAUUUGCUGUGACAUGCAUGAGAAUUGCAGGCACAUAUAGGAAAAAAUCAACUUGCCAUGGAAGAUUUACUGGUGAGGCAACGGUCAAAUUUUUUUCUUUCUCUGCAAUUCUGAGCCUGGAACAGCUUCCUUGUCUCCAGCAGAUGAGAACGAAAUCUGGCUCAUUUAAUCUAAUUUUGUCUCCGCCAACAGAUCUUUCUCUCAGUUCUGGUCUGCAGAGCUGAUUUUUAUAAUAGCUUCAAUAGGAAAAAAAGAGAGAAAAAUUUAAAAUCUCACCGUAGAGAGCCUCCAAUGUUUCCUCUGGACAUAUUAUAACUCCCACUGUUAACCAGUAACUGUGUAUCUUUUUUUUUUUUUGAAUAAUGAUGCCCAUAAUACUGGAAGCUCUAACAUUUACUCAGCCAAGACCAUUUAUCUUGUUAUAACAGGAUCAGCAUCUCAGCUGGGGCUUCUGGAUGCGACUCCACUACAAACAAAAUUAAAACCACCAGUCAGCUGGAAUUAAUAGUAUAUAGGAGCCACACUGUUACUCUGCUCACACACAGAAGGACGUGUGGAGGGUGUUAAAUCCCAGCACAAUGCACUGGGAGAAAUGGAUUUUUCCAUAAUUACCAAACCCCUUAGAUAGCAGCUAUCACCAGGAACCAGGAGAGCUCCUGAAAAUAUUGCUCCAACAUUCCUAAUGGAUGGUUUUCCUCGUGGCUACGUCGGCAAGAGCUCAGUGCCAGCUCCCCCCCUCCUCCUGCACUGCAAUACGUAGGAAGCCUUUAUUCCCAAACGGGAGCGUUUGCUUGCUGACAUCACAUGCGGUAGGAUCCUUUUGUUUGCCUGUGUCUCCUGCAUUGAAAUGUUUGUCUGAGUCACAGAUCCCGCUGCCUCCCUUCCCCUAUGUCAUGCUGCUUGCUUCAGAGCUUCUCCCUGACUCAUAGUUUUUAAAUUUUGACACAGCCCAGUUUGCUGCAUGGCAACUCAAUACUUUUCCCUUUAAUAUUUUAUUACGUAAUUUUUAUCUAAACCUUAUAAUGAUGCAAAAACCACUGCCUUCCCCCCUCCCCCCCCUUUUCUUUUUGCAGCCUUUUUUGAAUAGGGAGAUUUUAUGACUCAGAUUCAGCACUGAAUUUCGUUUCAAGGCAAAGUCAGUUUAGUGUAUACUAAAUAAAAAAUUUAAGAUAGUGACUCCCACAACUUGAAUUCUCCAUUUAGCUGCUGGCUGAGUUUCCUCAGCUCUAACGUUACCGAGUGCUCUGCCAAAAGGGGUCAUCUCUGUGCAUGUGUACAAACACUCCUCAUAAUUGAAGUAAUUACUGUUUUGCAGUGCAGCACCUUUUUUCUCCUCUAAUAAUCUCCUUGAUUUGCUUUUUCUUAAUAAAAAGAGGACAAAGAGCUGCUGUGCUUUCAGUGUACUUUCAUUCUCUGGGUUUAGACUCUGGAGCUGCUGAUAUUGCUGGUGCCUAAGUCUGGGUUUCCUCUUUAUUACAGCCAUGAACAAAAGAGAUCCUGAUUACAGCAAGAAAUGAAAUGAAGAACGUGGAAGUAAGGGCUAUGCAGCAGUUUGGUUCAAGCCUGAGCCACGGUAAAAUAUUCCCACUUACUGAGACAGGAAGAUAAAAUUAUUGUGCUGGAUUAAAUCCUUUGUCCUUCAGAUGCAGCCUUUCAUCUCUUGUUGCCACUACAGGAUAAAUGAGAAGUUCAAAGCAGAGCUUUGAUUGUCCUUGACCAAGGACUUUGCGGCAGGUGAGGGCUAAAGCCCCACUCUGGUGUAGCACAGAAAGCUGCAUUUCUCUUCCAGCAUCCACUGCCUGUGUCCUGCUCUGAGCCCGUGGUGAGCACACAGUGCUGCAUCCAACCUCCUUAAAAUUCAGGUACACACAAAGCCAGAUGACUGAUCCACAUGCCUGUCAUUAAAUGUUCUGUGCUA